Molecule: ribosomal RNA, 264 nt
Filed under: uncultured archaeon
Lineage: Archaea
Description: partial 16S ribosomal RNA
Rfam family: Archaeal small subunit ribosomal RNA
Source: RNAcentral
ACACGACUACAUUAGAUACCCCCGUAGUCCUGGCCGUAAACGAUGUGGACUUGGUGUUGGAAUGGCUCCGAGCUGCUCCAGUGCCGAAGGGAAGCUGUUAAGUCCACCGCCUGGGAAGUACGGUCGCAAGACUGAAACUUAAAGGAAUUGGCGGGGAGCACCACAACGGGUGGAGCUUGCGGUUUAAUUGGAUUCAACGCCGGAAAUCUUACCGGGACCGACAGCAACAUGAAGGCCAGGCUGAAGACUUUGCCGGAUUAGCUG